Molecule: ribosomal RNA, 472 nt
Filed under: uncultured bacterium
Lineage: Bacteria
Description: bacterial SSU rRNA
Rfam family: Bacterial small subunit ribosomal RNA
Source: RNAcentral
CGGCAUGCCUUACACAUGCAAGUCGAACGGCAGCACGGGAGCAAUCCUGGUGGCGAGUGGCGAACGGGUGAGUAAUAUAUCGGAACGUGCCCAGUCGUGGGGGAUAACGUAGCGAAAGCUACGCUAAUACCGCAUACGAUCUAUGGAUGAAANCGGGGGAUCGCAAGACCUCGCGCGAUUGGAGCGGCCGAUAUCAGAUUAGGUAGUUGGUGAGGUAAAGGCUCACCAAGCCGACGAUCUGUAGCUGGUCUGAGAGGACGACCAGCCACACUGGGACUGAGACACGGCCCAGACUCCUACGGGAGGCAGCAGUGGGGAAUUUUGGACAAUGGGCGCAAGCCUGAUCCAGCAAUGCCGCGUGCAGGAUGAAGGCCUUCGGGUUGUAAACUGCUUUUGUACGGAACGAAACGGUGAGCUCUAAUACAGUUUGCUAAUGACGGUACCGUAAGAAUAAGCACCGGCUAACUACGUG